This is a long non-coding RNA of Anneissia japonica, 4265 nucleotides long. RefSeq lists it as uncharacterized. The record is from RefSeq and is a predicted model, not a curated record. Lineage: Eukaryota; Metazoa; Echinodermata; Crinoidea; Comatulida; Comatulidae. The transcript has 2 exons.
UAUGUUGAAAAUUUAUACAUGUAAUGUAAUCGGUAUUUUGUAUGUAAAUACAGUUGUCUAACUAAUCCACCGGGCUUUUUUUUUUUACUGUAUCCUGAGUAUUUGCAAUAAAUUCAAUUAUUUUUUCAAGAUUUAGGAUAUUCAAGGUGCAUUUAUUGACUUUUCCAUAAAAAAUACAAAUGUAUUUUAAAAUCAUUUUUUUUUUAAUACACACAUUGCCAAGUAAAGUUUAUAAACAUAUAAGUAAAACAAGAAAUAAAUAUAGUAUAUUAAAAUAUUAAAUAUUUAGUUUAUUAUCACCACCACCAUCAUUACUACAACCACUCACCACCCACCACCCACCAUAUUUAAAUGGAGUAUUCUAUAACAAUGGAUAAUAAGAAUUAUAAUUUGAUGAUUUAUAUUCUUUCUACAUUCAAAAAUAAUAAUUAAAAAAAAAAACUGACAUUGUCCGAAAAGCAAGAAACCAAAACAAAAUAACCAAAGUAAAAUAACUCUAUAAAACCUUCAUCCUAGGCCUAUUUUUGCUGCUUUCUUAAACCUCAGGCCCGGGAUUUAUCAGUCUUAGCUUAGCAAAUGUCUUAAGUCUAAAAAGGCUUAGUCCCUAGGCAAAUAUCUAAAGCUGAUUAAUAUCAAACCAUUUUUUUAAGCAAAAUCUUAGCUUAAAAUCUUCUUAGAUGGUUCAUGCGUAAAAUCGACUUUUUAAUUUUAAGCAAUUUUUAAGUUAAGGCAAUAGUGGUAAAUUUGACAUAAGCAUAAAAAUGGACUUUAUAUGAACUUAAGCUGAUUUCUAGUUCGAUAAAGCAGGCCCCUGAUGAACUUAUAAUUAUGUGUCUCAUGACUAACUUAUGUUUCAGAAAUGCUGAAGUAAAUCUAUAUUGUACUAACGACGGUUAUGGCAAUCGGGAAAUAACAGAAGAUAAAUUUUCAAAACUGUAACACGUUUGUUUCAAAAUAGCGACCAGCAUUUGAAAGUUGAUGCUCUUCUCUAAUUUCCCGCCGAUUUAAUAUAAUCGAGGAAUAAUUGGUAAAGACAACUUGGAUUCUUGCUUCGAACAAUGUAGCAUUCGUAGAAGUCUUAUAAGUAAUUAUAACCCUAUCUAAUAGUGACUUUAGAAUGGUCAAGAACAGGACAUCCGACAAAUUACACACACAUAUUUUCGUUUUUACUUUCUAGGCUGGGUCUAGGUAGAUAUUUGCCAAUAAUUAACACGUAUCUACCUAGACCCAGCCUAGAAAGUAAAAACGAAAAUAUGUGUGUGUAAUUUAAUAAAUGUGUUCUACUAAUCAUGAAUAUUUUUAGACAGAAUAUCAAAGAAUAUAGGAAGAAUAUGAAAGAAACUCGGAGUGUAUUGUAAUUAUGUACCAAAUGCUAUUAUGAUAAUAAUAUUAUAUAUUAUAUUUUACGUGUUUGUAUUAAACUUAAAUCAUCAGAAGUCAAAAAGCCAAUCCUAUCACGUUUAAUGUUUUGACAUAAAAUCAAUGCGUUAUUAGUCAUCCAGUUAUAAGGCUGUUCGACAAAAAUCUACUAAAGCUAUAAGCCAGUAGAAUUUUAAAUAAAUGAAAGAUUUAACCAUGUCAAAAUUGCUUUGCUGAGAUUGUUUUUUUAAGCUUGUCAAUACCUAAUCUAGUAGAGUAUUUAUGUGUAUAUUGUAGAAUAUAAAUAUAUAUAUAAUAUAUAUAUAUAUAUAUAUAUAUAUAUGUUUAAUCAGUCGUUCAGUUAAUAUUUUGUUUACUUUUUUUACUUUUUAUCUACUUCUUUUGUUAGUUUUCUCCAUCUUUUAUAUAUUGUAUUAUUUAGUCAUUUAGUGGUAAGUUUUCCUCUAAUAAUAUGAUUAUAGUAGCAAAAAUAAUUGAAUAAAAUGAAUAGAUAUGUAAAAAUACAUAUGAAAAAUAGAGUAAGUGAAAGCUAAAUAACUUAAUAUAUUACAUACAUUUUGUAUUGAUUUUUUUGUUUUUCAUAUUGAUGUUUUAUAUUAAUAUUAUAUAUUUACUGAACUGUUAAGAACAGUUGAGGUAUUUUCUUAAAACGAUAGGCAAAACUAUUAUGUAUGCCUGUAAUUGUUCUUAAAUUGGUUUUUGGCUCAUUAUAAAAAUGUUUUGAAGGUAAAAACUGGAAAAAUUCAACAUAUUGUUACAAAAAGUUUCUAAAAGUCAAGUUUAAAAAAAACAAAAAAAAACAUUGAAAAUAUUAUUAUAUUGAAACCCAUUUGUAAGAUAAGCGAUAUAAAUCUCAAACAUUGUCACUAUGAUCUACCUACUUGAGUAUGAUGGUACAAAGUACAAACAGAAGAGAAUGCAACUUGAAAUACAUAAGACAUAACCUAUCUUUAAUUUCAAACUCAAUAACAUUAUUAAAACAAUAAGUUGCACAUUUAACACAAAUAAUAAUUACUUUGGUAUAAUUAUAUUUUUUGCUGAUAUUACAGACUUUUAAUACGGAAUUCAUAAUACAAAAUAAAUAUUUAUACAGGUUUACAAAAAAGAAUAUACGAGACUAUCUUACAAAUUCACAAUAGUUUGCAGACACAUAAUAAUAAUAAUAAUAAUAAUAAUAAUAAUAAUAAUAAUAAUAAUAAUAUUUAUUUGGCAAAAAGCAUAUAGGAGAAAAACAUCAUGAAUUGCCCGGAUAGGGAAUGGGCGAAAGCCCGAACAAUAUUUAUUAAUAUAUCCCAUCCUUCAUAUAAUAUGAAAUACACAAAAACAAUCAGAACUAAUCUGAAACAUAAAAUGAAAUAAAAUGCUUAAUUAAAUUAUUCUUAAAAUAGGAAACAUUAACAGAGUUUUGAAGUAGAGGAGGUAGUUCUUCCCAGAGCCUGGGAAAAGACACGAAAGCAGAAUUAAGAAAAAUAUUGCUUUUGGCUUUCCAGUGAAUAAGCCUACCCUCACAACGCUCACUCUUAUGAACAAACUCUGUUAAUGUUGGGGGACAAACAUUAUGAAGAACUUUGAAACCAAGAACAAGCCGGUGAUAUUUAAAAAUAUCUUCUAUGCUUAAUAUGUUAAGCGUUUUCAGCCUAUCUUCAUAAUGUACGUCCCAGUCACCAUCUUUUUUAAACGUAAUUAUUCUGGUGGCUCUACGUUGGAUUCUUUCAAUUCUAUUAAUAUUAGUUUUGUCACCUGGUGCCCACAUUGCACAACAAUACGUAAUAAAUGGAAGAAUCAAUGCUUUAUAUAGAUUUAACAUUACAGCCCAUGACAUAUUUUUACUAUACUUAUUAAUAAAACCUAGUAAUUGUCAUGAUUUAGAACAAAUAAUUUACUUGUGUAUAGCAUGAAAGUUUAUUAUGUAUAAAAACACCAAGUAAUUUAAAUUCAUUUACUUUUUCUAAGUAAAUAUUAUCUAUUUUAUAAUCCCAUUUAAUUGGGUUCUUACUUUUACUUAUAUGCAUAGUAGCACAUUUAGAUACAUUUAGAAGUAAUUUAUUUACAACUGACCAAUUGUAUAUCUUUUCAAGAUCUUGCUGAAGAGCAAUACAGUCCCUAAUAUUAUUGAUUUGGUGGGAAAGAGUAUGGUCAUCUGCAAACUGAAAUAUUGAUGAUGAGAUAUCAUUUACAAUGUCACUAACAUAAAUUAGGAAGAGUCCCAACACAGAACCUUGAGGGACCCAAGAUGUUACAUUAAUGCACUCUGACUUCUCUCCUCUAUAAAUAACUCUUUGCCUUCUGUUAGUUAAGAAAUUUUUUUUAUCCAGCUAUCGAUAAUACCUGUAAUGCCAUACAUGCUAUUAAGUUAUAUAAUAAGAGAUUGAUCAAAGUAAAACAUUGAAAUGACGAAAGUACCAAAUUCUAAUAGUUUCAAACGAAAACUUAAAUUAAAGACCACUGUAAUUCAGCUCUUCAAUGAAGACAAUAAAUAAAGGAUUCAGUAUUUACUAUUAUGUUUAAUAAUUUAUACCUGAGAUGUUACUUAGCUAGUUAGAUAAAAUGCUUGCUUUAACACAUUCUUGACUUAGUUCUAGACUUAAAUCCGAAAGAUAUCACAAAUUGCAACUUUCACCUGUAUUUGAUAUUAUAAAUUUCUACUUUCUGAAUAAACAUAGCUAUUACCAUUUAGUGUAUAAGAAGAAAAUAACCAUUAAAGUUCAUACAAUGAUAUUCAUUUAUAAGAAAAAAGAAAAUUGGCUGAUACCUGCAUAUUGUUAACAAUACGUUAUGUAUUUGAACUCCUUAAAAAGUGUAAAAAUAUUUCUCGAAGCAUUCAGCUUCAGCAAAACGUACAUGUAAUAAAAGUUAGAAUUUUAGGCCUAUGUAUAGGCACCAAA